Long non-coding RNA from Clupea harengus (Atlantic herring), 2980 nucleotides. NCBI's taxonomy places the organism in Eukaryota, Metazoa, Chordata, Actinopteri, Clupeiformes, Clupeidae. The record is from Ensembl.
UACCAAAACAAAACGACUGCUGGAGGACAACACAGGAGAGAGGUGGACGGAUGGAGGAUGGAGGGAGGUCAGGGAGGGAGGUCAGUGAGGUCAGGGAGGGAGGUAAACAAGUAGGACUGGGGGGGGGGGGCAAUCGUGCACUCAGGAGGUCUUCCCGAAACAUGCUCAUAGCACACACACACACUCACACACGCAGACACACUAAACACUCACUCACACACACACACACACAGUCUCACACGCACAGAGGGGGAGGUUGGGCCUAUCCCUGCCUUCCAUGUCCGUCCGCUCGUCUGGCUGUGGGCCAUCCUGACCCGAAUGGGGACGAAACCAAACCCCACUGACCAUGUGAAGUCAAGCAGGCUCAACUAGAACACGGAUACUGGGUCGUUUAAGGGUCCGAUUUAGACUGCCAGCACCUUUCUCCACUUCACACAUCGAGACGGCUGGAAGUGGUUAUAACUGCUGCUCUAUAUUUGUGCCUUAAAGUCAUUUAGUAGAAACGUUGCUUGGCUUGAGUUGCCAGAGCACAUGACAGUGUUCUAUAAUGUUUAUAGACCAACACGAAGUAGAGAGAAGGCAGGGACCAGUAGACAAUAUGGAACGGCAUUAUGGGUAACCUAGAGGACAUGGUCCACACACUGGAGAGGAGAGGACAGUGGAGAGGGGACAAAGGGGUGUGACACGAGGGGUCAAAGGUCAUCAGACCCGAGCAUCAUGGGAAGGGGGCAGCAGGCAAACCUCGCCCUCAGCGACCGGAGAGUCCAUGUCUCAUAAAUAAUUUUUGCCUUUGUAUUUUUUUUUUUUCUCAAUGUCAUUUUUAUAUAAUUUCCCCAUGUAAACAUACAUUCAUGCAACACCCGCGUUGAAUAGUUCCUUAUAUUUGAUAUAUUUUUUUUAUAUAAAAAAAAACAACAACAAGAAAACAAAAGACCAAAACACUAACUUAAAAAGAAAGGAAAAAAAGAAAGGGAUGUUCCGAUGACAAAGAAAAAGAGUGAUAAGAAAACAGCCCUGAAACGAGAGAGAGAGGGACGUGGGACUGGGUGGAGAGGGUUCUACAGGAUGCCUAAUUUAACAUACCUGUGUGUGUGUGUGUGUGUGUGUGUGUGUGUGUGUGUAGGACGAUCGGAGUGAGAUUCCAUGACCCUUGAUGGUAAGGGUUGAGAUGUUGAAAAUGGAUUAAUGAUGAUAUUGAUCUGGACCAAUCGGAAGAGGGAUCAUUUGUGAGGUCAUUGAUUUUGCACUUCAUUUCACACACACACACACACACACACUUAUCCAUAUUGGCUUGCCACACACACACACCGCAAGCCCAUGCUCACCAGGGACCCGAGCUGAAACCUAAUUCAUGUGAACAUGUGAACGUGUGUAAACUCCAUAAACCCCUCGCUAGCUUCCUCUAGCAGCCGCCCAGAGAGCCUCCGUGACCCCCCCGUCACGUCUGUUUGACCCCCCGUCACGUCUGUGAGACCCCCCGUCACGUCAUACACCAAGUCAGUUGGUGCCGUCGACCCGACCCGGCCCGGCAAGGUCAGCUGUGAGAACGUCAGUCCUGGCCAACAUGCCUGCACACAAACACAUGCACACACACACACACACAGACACACACACACACACACACACGCACAGACACACACACAUGCUCAAAGCCGUGCCCUGGAGGGUGUGCUGACCCAUAGGGAGUUGGGUGAUUUGAUUGUGCUUCCCGUUGCCCAUGGAUACCAGUCACCUGGCCUACCCUGCUCUCCACAGACAGGUAGACGGAGGGAGAGAGGGACGGACAGACAGACAGACAGACAGACAGACAGACAGACAGACCGUCUCACCUCUCUCCCGCUAACAGCAGACAGGGCCCAGACACAUUUAGAAACAUAGACCCACCCCAGACGCACACACGCACACAGACACACACGGAACGGAACACACACAGACGCACACACACACACACACACACACAGACGCACACACACACACACACACACACACACGGAACACAGAUAUGGCUUCAAGCUUCUGCAGAGACCGCCGGCCCACCGAGUGAGCGGCGUGGAGAACGUAAACAAGGGGAACGCGUCCUAACGACUACAAUCACAUUGUGCUUCCCCAACCUCUAAUUCAUAAGGGUUAGAAGUAGUGCAUGCAAGCAGUCCGCUUUGCCUCGGAAUCCGAAGGGUGUGUGUGUGUGUGUGCGUGAUGGCAUGCGUGAAUGGUGUGUGUGUGUGUGUGUGUGUGAUGGCAUGCGUGAAUGGUGUGUGUGUGUGUGUGUGUGUGUGUGUGUGUGUGUGUGUGUGUGUGUGUGUGUAAAUCAUGUGGCGGAGGACUAGUCCAGCCAUUGGAUGUGUAUUUUGGGGGAUUUAGUGCCCUUCUGAAGGAGAGGGCUCAGGGCUAUAUAAAGCUUUCAAAUGUCACAUUAAAUAAACGCCGACUCAGCCCUAUCAGAGUGGGUUUUGGCCAGAGGAUGCGAUACAUUACUGUUCAGCUCCUCCAACAUAUGUAAUGGGGGGGCUUGCUUGAGCCACGGUAUGUAAACAACCUCACUCAAUUUGAUAAGGAUAUGCUCGAGAUACGACACUUACAUCAGGGCUAUUUGACAGGGUUCAAGAAAUUGUUUCCUUUAUGUGACAUUUGUGACAAAUGUGACAUUUUUAAUGCGUGUCUUGUUCCUCUAACAUCGGCCGGCUCAACAAACACAUCACUCACGCACGCACGUACAUACAUACACUUACAUACCUACACACACACACACACACACAGACUAAAAAGAUGCAACAAUCUCGCUCUACAGCAUGCCUGGAUGUGUGCGAGUAAACCCACUAAAACUACGAUCUAAGUAUAUAAUACACCUUUCCCCCUUUUCCCAUCACCAUUUCACUUCUGAACGAGUCUCCCUCGAUCCUCCCACAACAAAUUCUUGGCAUUUGAUGAAGAUUCCUCGCAUGAGAGCAGGGGAGUAUUUGUGAUCGCCAUCGGUGUUGAC